GAUGAACGCUGGCGGCGCGCCUAACACGUGCAAGUCGAACGGCACCCCUCUCCGGAGGGAAGCGAGUGGCGAACGGCUGAGUAACACGUGGAGAACCUGCCCCCUCCCCCGGGAUAGCCGCCCGAAAGGACGGGUAAUACCGGAUACCCCGGGGUGCCGCAUGGCACCCCGGCUAAGCCCCGACGGGAGGGGAUGGCUCCGCGGCCCAUCAGGUAGACGGCGGGGUGACGGCCCACCGUGCCGACAACGGGUAGCCGGGUUGAGAGACCGACCGGCCAGAUUGGGACUGAGACACGGCCCAGACUCCUACGGGAGGCAGCAGUGGGGAAUCUUGCGCAAUGGGGGGAACCCUGACGCAGCGACGCCGCGUGCGGGACGGAGGCCUUCGGGUCGUAAACCGCUUUCAGCAGGGAAGAGUCAAGACUGUAC
This 429-nucleotide ribosomal RNA is filed under the name uncultured bacterium. RNAcentral describes it as "bacterial SSU rRNA". It matches the Rfam family "Bacterial small subunit ribosomal RNA", at positions 28 to 478 of the family's 1533-position model. The record is from RNAcentral.